This 600-nucleotide ribosomal RNA is filed under the name Pseudomonas sp. 64C4. RNAcentral's name for it is "bacterial SSU rRNA". It matches the Rfam family "Bacterial small subunit ribosomal RNA", at positions 130 to 725 of the family's 1533-position model. Lineage: Bacteria; Pseudomonadati; Pseudomonadota; Gammaproteobacteria; Pseudomonadales; Pseudomonadaceae. The record is from RNAcentral.
CUGCCGAAGGGGGACAACGUUUCGAAAGGAACGCUAAUACCGCAUACGUCCUACGGGAGAAAGCAGGGGACCUUCGGGCCUUGCGCUAUCAGAUGAGCCUAGGUCGGAUUAGCUAGUUGGUGAGGUAAUGGCUCACCAAGGCGACGAUCCGUAACUGGUCUGAGAGGAUGAUCAGUCACACUGGAACUGAGACACGGUCCAGACUCCUACGGGAGGCAGCAGUGGGGAAUAUUGGACAAUGGGCGAAAGCCUGAUCCAGCCAUGCCGCGUGUGUGAAGAAGGUCUUCGGAUUGUAAAGCACUUUAAGUUGGGAGGAAGGGUUGUAGAUUAAUACUCUGCAAUUUUGACGUUACCGACAGAAUAAGCACCGGCUAACUCUGUGCCAGCAGCCGCGGUAAUACAGAGGGUGCAAGCGUUAAUCGGAAUUACUGGGCGUAAAGCGCGCGUAGGUGGUUCGUUAAGUUGGAUGUGAAAGCCCCGGGCUCAACCUGGGAACUGCAUUCAAAACUGACGAGCUAGAGUAUGGUAGAGGGUGGUGGAAUUUCCUGUGUAGCGGUGAAAUGCGUAGAUAUAGGAAGGAACACCAGUGGCGAAGGCGAC